RNAcentral lists this ribosomal RNA (740 nucleotides) under uncultured Hyphomicrobiales bacterium. RNAcentral describes it as "bacterial SSU rRNA". It matches the Rfam family "Bacterial small subunit ribosomal RNA", at positions 8 to 796 of the family's 1533-position model. Lineage: Bacteria; Pseudomonadati; Pseudomonadota; Alphaproteobacteria; Hyphomicrobiales. The record is from RNAcentral.
AGAGUUUGAUCCUGGCUCAGAACGAACGCUGGCGGCAGGCUUAACACAUGCAAGUCGAACGCACCGCAAGGUGAGUGGCAGACGGGUGAGUAACGCGUGGGAACGUGCCCUUCAGUUCGGGAUAACCCAGGGAAACUUGGGCUAAUACCGGAUACGUGCGAGAGCAGAAAGAUUCAUCGCUGAAGGAUCGGCCCGCGUCUGAUUAGCUAGUUGGUAGGGUAAUGGCCUACCAAGGCGACGAUCAGUAGCUGGUCUGAGAGGAUGAUCAGCCACAUUGGGACUGAGACACGGCCCAAACUCCUACGGGAGGCAGCAGUGGGGAAUAUUGGACAAUGGGCGCAAGCCUGAUCCAGCCAUGCCGCGUGAGUGAUGAAGGCCUUAGGGUUGUAAAGCUCUUUCGUCCGGGACGAUAAUGACGGUACCGGAAGAAGAAGCCCCGGCUAACUUCGUGCCAGCAGCCGCGGUAAUACGAAGGGGGCUAGCGUUGUUCGGAAUCACUGGGCGUAAAGGGCGCGUAGGCGGCCUGAUAAGUCGGGGGUGAAAGCCUGUGGCUCAACCACAGAAUUGCCUUCGAUACUGUCGGGCUUGAGACCGGAAGAGGUAAGUGGAACUGCGAGUGUAGAGGUGAAAUUCGUAGAUAUUCGCAAGAACACCAGUGGCGAAGGCGGCUUACUGGUCCGGUUCUGACGCUGAGGCGCGAAAGCGUGGGGAGCAAACAGGAUUAGAUACCCCGGUAGUCC